Long non-coding RNA from Penaeus chinensis, 733 nucleotides. RefSeq lists it as uncharacterized. The transcript is spliced from 2 exons. Lineage: Eukaryota; Metazoa; Arthropoda; Malacostraca; Decapoda; Penaeidae. The record is from RefSeq and is a predicted model, not a curated record.
CUCGGCGGUCGCGGCUACACAUCCGCCAGCCAGCUGACCCACAUAAGAGCGUCACAGCAAUCUUCCUAGGUGUCUGUUCAAAUCGCCAGUGCCAAGAUGAUGAUGAACUUCCGUGUUGUGUUGAUGGCCAUCGUGGUGGUUGUCACUCUCACCACGACUCACGCCCUGCCCAUGAUGUUCAGCCCGACAGUGUCUCGGCCGAGCCCAUGCUCCAUCGUCUCCAACUUGCUUGAUGCUGAUGUGGCCAGUGUCUUCGAGGGGGACAUCUACCUCGCAGAGUCAUUUUGUGUUUGAGCCGGAGUUGAAACAGAACUCAUGAAAGUUAAUGAUUCAACUCGUUUUAUCAUUCAGGGUGAGUCGCCUAGUUCGAAUCAGACCUGGUCUUUCACCAUGUCGAUAGGCUAUGUUGACUGACUCACUAGAACUGUUACUAACUGGGAGAAGAAUCCGAUGGAUUGUCUCCAGUGUAACUUUAUUCAACAGUGGGUGGCGGAAUGAAGAUGCCGAAGCCGUGAGAAGUCGCUGCGUACGAGUCUCAUGACUGGCAUCUGGAAGCAUUACAUGAACGCUGUAGAGCUGCCAAAAGUGUUGCCGCAGUUUGCCAGCUGACAGUGUUUGUAAGAUCAUCAAUACAUGAAAUGUUGCAUACACUGGAUAUACAUGAUUACACUCGUGUAUCCUGAUUGACUAUAAUAAAAAUAAAGAAGUGCUAUAUAAAUGCAAUUCAAAAGAA